Long non-coding RNA from Canis lupus familiaris (dog), 1001 nucleotides. RefSeq lists it as uncharacterized. The record is from RefSeq and is a predicted model, not a curated record. NCBI's taxonomy places the organism in Eukaryota, Metazoa, Chordata, Mammalia, Carnivora, Canidae. The transcript has 2 exons.
UUGGACCGAGGCUAGAGGUUCUUGUUCAACGGUGGCUCCCUCACGUGGCUGGCAGUUGGUGCUGGCUGCGGGGGGGAAUUCUGAAUUCCUCUUUGUGAAGGCUCCUCCACAGGCUAACCGCGCGUUCUCCUGACAUGGCAGCUGGCUUCCCAGCAAAGGAGGCCUUCAGGGCGGAAGUGACGGUGCCUUUUUUUGACCUAGCCUUGGAAGUUACACACUAAGUAUUUGUUUGCUGCCUACUAUGAGGUGGACACUCUUCUAAGCACCUGACAGAUAAACGGAGGUUGAGUGGCAAUGGACAAUGAGAACCAAGGUAUCUGGCCACCGUCAUUAAGCAUUUGAGCCACAGUGAGUUCUAGGCUCCCUGUAGGGGUGGGUAUGGGGGCGAAGGGUACUCCUGCUCUCAAUUUGUGGUCUCUUGUGGAAAUCUCAGGGUUGCACAGAGCCAGUCAUUGUGAGAGGUACCAAGAUGCCGUAGGAAAUAACCAAAGGAGUUGCCCCCGGGCUCAUUGCCAGCUGAAAUGGUCAAGGAUGGGGCAUGCGCUGAGACAUGGAGUUAAGAAGAGGAUGGAGGAUUGAUUCAACAAGGUGAAAGCUCAAGAAGAACAGGUUCGAAAUAAAUGUGGAGCCUCUCUCGUCGAAGUCAGAUAGGGACGGGCCUGGCUUCUGUUCGCAGGGAUGCGAGAGGGCUGCGCCCAAUUUAGUACGCCCUCCCCACGAACUCCUAUGUUGAAACUUAAUCCCCCAGUGUGAGGGUAUUUGGAGGUGGAGCCUUUGAGAGGUGCUUAGGUCUGAGGUUGGAGCCCUCAUGCAAAGAAUUAGUUCCUGUGUAAGGGAGGCUCAGAGGGUGCCUGCACCCACCUGCCGGACGACAACAGAGCAACAAGAAUGCUGUCUGGAAACCAGGAAGCAGGUCCUCACCAGACACCACAUCUGCUGGCACCUUGAUUUGGGACUUCCCCGACUCCAGAACCUGAGAAAUAAAUGUCUGUUACGCAUAA